ACUGGUGGGCUGGAGUCCCAGGGGGAGAUUAUUCCAAGUAGGGGCUCCAGAAAGUGGCCAGAUAGUGUGAGUGGCUCCGGCAGACUCUUCUCUGUGCAAGAGCCAGGAAGGCUCUAGAAAGGAAUGUCUGAGGAAGCAUCGGAGACUGGGUCCCGCCAUGCCUGUGUCAUCUCCUGGCUUCCCCGGCCCUUAUGGCUCGUUCGGAACACCACCUGGAUACGGCUGU
RNAcentral lists this small RNA (226 nucleotides) under Pongo abelii (Sumatran orangutan). RNAcentral's name for it is "processed transcript". The record is from RNAcentral. Lineage: Eukaryota; Metazoa; Chordata; Mammalia; Primates; Hominidae.